AGCACCACAACGGGUGGAGCUUGCGGUUUAAUUGGAUUCAACGCCGGAAAUCUUACCGGGACCGACAGCGAUAUGAAGGCCAGGCUGAAGACUUUGCCGGAUUAGCUGAGAGGUGGUGCAUGGCCGUCGUCAGUUCGUACUGUGAAGCAUCCUGUUAAGUCAGGCAACGAGCGAGACCCACGCCCACAGUUGCCAGCGUACUCUCCGGAGUGACGGGUACACUGUGGGGACCGCCGCUGCUAAAGCGGAGGAAGGAAUGGGCAACGGUAGGUCAGUAUGCCCCGAAUAUCCCGGGCUACACGCGAGCUACAAUGGUUGGUACAAUGGGUAUCUACCCCGAAAGGGGAUGGAAAUCUCCUAAAGCCAAUCUUAGUCCGGAUUGAGGGCUGCAACUCGCCCUCAUGAAGCUGGAAUCCGUAGUAAUCGCGUUUCAACAGAACGCGGUGAAUACGUCCCUGCUCCUU
Molecule: ribosomal RNA, 464 nt
Filed under: uncultured Methanosaeta sp.
Lineage: Archaea; Methanobacteriati; Methanobacteriota; Methanomicrobia; Methanotrichales; Methanotrichaceae
Description: bacterial SSU rRNA
Rfam family: Archaeal small subunit ribosomal RNA
Source: RNAcentral